GCUCCACCCCCUCGGCGCGGACCGGAGCGGGGCGGCGGGCGGUGUGCCGGGGCUGGGCGAAAAACAAGUCCCAGGGCCGAGCUCCCCAGCAAGAGCUAAGUCUCAGGUCCGAAAUGGCUCGCAGGCCUGAAAGGGAGCGUGCACUGAGUCUGGAAAAUACAGCGCGAGCCCUCGGGCUGCAGGGAAAGGUGAAUCUGCCUCCCCUCCCCGCGGCUGAGCUGUUCACCGAGAGCCAAACAGCAGCCAAACAGCAACAGACCUGACCCUGACAGCGCCGGAGCAAUCAAGUUCUCUUUAAAUUUUAUAUACUAUUGAAAUUUCCCUCCUUCCUUUCCGAUCAUAACCAAACAACGCUAAAUGGGCCGCAGAAUGCAGGAACAAUCAGGGGGACGGGACCAUGGCCUAUUUUCAAUGUGAAAUUUAUUUUUGGAAUCACAUUGAAUCUCAUGCAGAAUAAUUGAAAAAAGUCAUACUUUGACAUAUAGUAAAACUGAAAAA
Molecule: non-coding RNA, 498 nt
Organism: Microcebus murinus (gray mouse lemur)
Lineage: Eukaryota; Metazoa; Chordata; Mammalia; Primates; Cheirogaleidae
Source: RefSeq, a predicted model, not a curated record